CUGGCGGUAGGCAAGAUGCACAUAUUUUGUAACAAGAUAUGUUUUGGGGAAGUCUUUGAAAGAGCGUACUUACAUGGCAGUUGAACAUAAUUCAAAUGCUAUAAGAGGACUUUAUACCAAUAACAUGACAUAUUUCAAGAAGGCAAUCUUGGUUUUACUAGAGAGCGUUUGGGGAGGGAUUGUGGUUGAGCUAUUUUAGACUAGCC
This 206-nucleotide long non-coding RNA is filed under the name Elaeis guineensis (African oil palm). RNAcentral's name for it is "long non-coding RNA (EGUI_LNC024767)". Lineage: Eukaryota; Viridiplantae; Streptophyta; Magnoliopsida; Arecales; Arecaceae. The record is from RNAcentral.